UCCUACGGGAGGCAGCAGUGGGGAAUCUUGGACAAUGGGCGCAAGCCUGAUCCAGCCAUGCCGCGUGAGUGAAGAAGGCCUUCGGGUUGUAAAGCUCUUUUGUCAGGGACGAUAAUGACGGUACCUGAAGAAUAAGCCCCGGCAAACUUCGUGCCAGCAGCCGCGGUAAUACGAAGGGGGCUAGCGUUGUUCGGAAUUACUGGGCGUAAAGCGCACGUAGGCGGCUUGUUAAGUCAGGGGUGAAAUCCCGGAGCUCAACUCCGGAACUGCCUUUGAUACUGGCAAGCUAGAGUUCGGAAGAGGUUAGUGGAAUUCCCAGUGUAGAGGUGAAAUUCGUAGAUAUUGGGAAGAACACCAGUGGCGAAGGCGGCUAACUGGUCCGAUACUGACGCUGAGGUGCGAAAGCGUGGGGAGCAAACAGGAUUAGAUACCCCGGUAGUCCAC
RNAcentral lists this ribosomal RNA (444 nucleotides) under uncultured Hyphomicrobiales bacterium. RNAcentral's name for it is "bacterial SSU rRNA". It matches the Rfam family "Bacterial small subunit ribosomal RNA", at positions 337 to 798 of the family's 1533-position model. The record is from RNAcentral. Lineage: Bacteria; Pseudomonadati; Pseudomonadota; Alphaproteobacteria; Hyphomicrobiales.